Molecule: long non-coding RNA, 497 nt
Organism: Gasterosteus aculeatus aculeatus (three-spined stickleback)
Lineage: Eukaryota; Metazoa; Chordata; Actinopteri; Perciformes; Gasterosteidae
Source: Ensembl
GAAACAGAACACAUACCUAUACACAGAACAGGGGACGUAACACCGGGAAAAGUCCAGAUUUAGACGACAUCAUUGGGUCCACCUGUGAGACGUAUUUUGAGACGGGACGCAGGAGCUUCAGGUUCAGGCGGAACACUCAUUGCGGGCGGAAGCUGCGAAGGAUUCAGCGCGGAGUCGAGCGAGAAGAAAGAGGCUGCUGGAAUCGAGACAAAGUGUGCUGGCUGAUGACGAGGUGGAACUCUGGAAAUCCGCCACCGUAGAGCUCACGUCGGACGGAGGGGACGGCGUUGUUGGCGGGGUCUUGGGGUGGAUUGUACGGUCGCCACACACACACACGAGCCGCCUGCACAACAGACCUGCCUCGGAAAACACGGCGCCAGUGACGGUCUACAACCCCGAGGAGGCAAACGGACAGUUUACUGAGCUGUAGUUUUUAAACCGCCGUUACCCAAUUGUGGGCAGAUCCUCACUUUGUAUGUAGUUGUUGUUGUUUGUGU